RNAcentral lists this ribosomal RNA (484 nucleotides) under uncultured bacterium. RNAcentral's name for it is "partial 16S ribosomal RNA". It matches the Rfam family "Bacterial small subunit ribosomal RNA", at positions 28 to 523 of the family's 1533-position model. The record is from RNAcentral.
GACGAACGCUGGCGGCGUGCUUAACACCUGCAAGUUGAACGGUUUAUGGUGAUGAAGUGCCUUCGGGUAUGGAUAGCCAUAGGCAGUAGCGAACGGGUGAGUAAUGCGUGAGGACCUGCCCUGAGGAGGGGGACAGCAGUUGGAAACGGCUGGUGAUACCCCGUAUGCCGGGAGGUGUAAGGGCCUUUGUGGUCUGCCUUUGGAUGGACUCACGUCCUAUCAGCUAGUUGGUGAGGUAACGGCUCACCAAGGCGACGACGGGUAGCCGGCCUGAGAGGGUGUCCGGCCACACUGGAACUGAGACACGGUCCAGACUCCUACGGGAGGCAGCAGUGGGGAAUUUUGGGCAAUGGGGGAGACCCUGACCCAGCGACGCCGCGUGAGGGAAGAAGGCCUUAGGGUCGUAAACUUCUUUUGCAUGGGAAGAUAAUGACGGUACUGUGCGAAUAAGUCCCGGCUAACUACGUGCCAGCCGCCGCGGUAA